CUCACUGAGCAGGACCAUUAACAGCUCAGAAAUAAGUCUUGCCCUCCUCCCCUGGCCCUUCGCCACAGAGCUUGGGCAGCAUAUUAAUCCACUGUAGCUCACUUCCCGUUCACUGUCUCUGGUGCUCAUUCCAGCAGCCACCGGAAAUGCCAAGCCCCUGGGUUUUUCUUCUGUCUUUGGCUUGUGUUUAUGGAGACUCCUGGAUAUCUCAAGAUCAGCUGUCCUUUACCCGAAGGCCAAACAAGACGGUGCACAUAAGUUGCAAGCUCUCUGGGGUCCCCUUUCAGAACACCAUUGUGCACUGGUACAAACUGAAAGAAGGGGAACCCCUAAAGCGAAUCUUCUAUGGCUCAGCCAAAACUUACCAACAAGACAAACCCGACUCCCGCUUGGAAAUCGAUGAGAAGGAUGACGGUACCUUUUACCUGAUAAUUAACAAUGUUGUCACAUCAGAUGAAGCCACGUACUACUGUGCCUGCUGGGAUCUCACAGUGUCUCAGUAUCUGGAGGAACGUUCUUUGUCAGCUCGAGACGGACCCUUGAUACAAAGCUUGCAUUUCCUAUUCUACACUAUGAAAUCGUAGACUUCUCAUACCUGGGGCCAUGGGCUUAUUACAGAGAUGUAGGCUGUUUGUGUCCAACACCUGUGAAUCAAAGUCGUACAGAGAAUGAGAACAGCAGCAUCCAGACCUGUGCAACUGUGCUCUAGGCAGACGCUUCUCUGCAGAAGUCUCAGCAGCGAUCCAAUCAACUGGCUCCAGUUCCAGUCUGACUCCAGUGUCCAAAUAUUUCUUCUCAAACCCUUGAUUCUCAUGCCCUCUAUGGCAAAGAUGCAGAUGUGUUGUGAAGACAACAAGGAGGUUUUACAUUUUUUUUUUAGCUUAUACAUAUUUUGUCUCCUCUAGUGGAAAAAAACCCAAAUAAAUAAGGAGAAUUGA
Non-coding RNA from Grammomys surdaster, 938 nucleotides. The record is from the annotation of a RefSeq genome assembly. NCBI's taxonomy places the organism in Eukaryota, Metazoa, Chordata, Mammalia, Rodentia, Muridae.